RNAcentral lists this ribosomal RNA (404 nucleotides) under Actinomycetes bacterium. RNAcentral's name for it is "Actinobacteria bacterium partial 16S ribosomal RNA". It matches the Rfam family "Bacterial small subunit ribosomal RNA", at positions 355 to 776 of the family's 1533-position model. The record is from RNAcentral. Lineage: Bacteria; Bacillati; Actinomycetota; Actinomycetes.
UGGGGAAUAUUGGACAAUGGGCGCAAGCCUGAUCCAGCCAUGCCGCGUGAGUGAUGAAGGCACUAGGGUUGUAAAGCUCUCUCACCGGUGAAGAUAAUGACGGUAACCGGAGAAGAAGCCCCGGCUAACUUCGUGCCAGCAGCCGCGGUAAUACGAAGGGGGCUAGCGUUGUUCGGAUUUACUGGGCGUAAAGCGCACGUAGGCGGACUAUUAAGUCAGGGGUGAAAUCCCGGUGCUCAACCCCGGAACUGCCUUUGAUACUGGUAGUCUUGAGUUCGGGAGAGGUGAGUGGAAUUCCGAGUGUAGAGGUGAAAUUCGUAGAUAUUCGGAAGAACACCAGUGGCGAAGGCGGCUCACUGGCUCGAUACUGACGCUGAGGUGCGAAAGCGUGGGGAGCAAACAUG